UGUGAAGUUAUGAUUUCAUGUGCAUGAAG
Molecule: non-coding RNA, 29 nt
Filed under: Mus musculus (house mouse)
Lineage: Eukaryota; Metazoa; Chordata; Mammalia; Rodentia; Muridae
Source: RNAcentral